RNAcentral lists this ribosomal RNA (427 nucleotides) under uncultured bacterium. RNAcentral describes it as "partial 16S ribosomal RNA". It matches the Rfam family "Bacterial small subunit ribosomal RNA", at positions 355 to 774 of the family's 1533-position model. The record is from RNAcentral.
UGGGGAAUAUUGGACAAUGGGCGAAAGCCUGAUCCAGCCAUGCCGCGUGUGUGAAGAAGGUCUUCGGAUUGUAAAGCACUUUAAGUUGGGAGGAAGGGCAUUAACCUAAUACGUUAGUGUUUUGACGUUACCGACAGAAUAAGCACCGGCUAACUCUGUGCCAGCAGCCGCGGUAAUACAGUGGGUGCAAGCGAUAAUCGGAAUUACUGGGCGUAAAGCGCGCGUAGGUGGUUUGUUAAGUUGGAUGUGAAAUCCCCGGGCUCAACCUGGGAACUGCAUUCAAAACUGACUGACUAGAGUAUGGUAGAGGGUGGUGGAAUUUCCUGUGUAGCGGUGAAAUGCGUAGAUAUAGGAAGGAACACCAGUGGCGAAGGCGACCACCUGGACUAAUACUGACACUGAGGUGCGAAAGCGUGGGGAGCAAACA